Molecule: ribosomal RNA, 459 nt
Filed under: uncultured bacterium
Lineage: Bacteria
Description: partial 16S ribosomal RNA
Rfam family: Bacterial small subunit ribosomal RNA
Source: RNAcentral
CCUACGGGAGGCAGCAGUGAGGAAUAUUGGUCAAUGGGAGAGAUCCUGAACCAGCCAAGCCGCGUGAGGGAAGACGGCCCUAUGGGUUGUAAACUUCUUUUGUCGGAGAACAAAACCCGGGACGUGUCCCGGACUUCGUGUAUCCGAAGAAAAAGCAUCGGCUAACUCCGUGUCAGCAGCCGCGGUAAUAGGGAGGAUGCGAGGGUUUUCCGGUUUUAUUGGGUUUAAGGGGUGCGUAGGCGGUCCGUUAUGUCAGCGGGAAAAUUGCGGGGCUCAACCCCGUCGAGCCGUUGAAACUGGCGGACUUGAGUUGGCGAGAAGUACGCGGAAUGCGCGGUGUAGCGGUGAAAUGCAUAGAUAUCGCGCAGAACUCCGAUUGCGAAGGCAGGGUACCGGCGCCAGACUGACGCUGAGGCACGAAAGCGUGGGGAUCGAACAGGAUUAGAUACCCUUGUAGUC